UACAGAGGGGGCAAGCGUUGUUCGGAAUUACUGGGCGUAAAGGGCGCGUAGGCGGCCUGUUAAGUCGAACGUGAAAUCCCCGGGCUCAACCCGGGAACUGCGUCCGAUACUGGCAGGCUUGAAUCCGGGAGAGGGAUGCGGAAUUCCCGGUGUAGCGGUGAAAUGCGUAGAUAUCGGAAGGAACAUCAGUGGCGAAAGCGGCUUCCUGGACCAGUACCGACGUUCAGGCACGAAAGCGUGGGGAGCAAACAGG
Molecule: ribosomal RNA, 253 nt
Filed under: uncultured bacterium
Lineage: Bacteria
Description: partial 16S ribosomal RNA
Rfam family: Bacterial small subunit ribosomal RNA
Source: RNAcentral